CGGCUGCUGCUGUUGCUGCGAUUGCAUUUGCAUUUGCAGUUGCUGCUGCUGUUGUUGUUGCUGCUGCUGCUGCUGCUG
Molecule: small RNA, 78 nt
Filed under: Drosophila guanche
Lineage: Eukaryota; Metazoa; Arthropoda; Insecta; Diptera; Drosophilidae
Source: RNAcentral